This 2787-nucleotide ribosomal RNA is filed under the name Escherichia coli. Its description in RNAcentral is "bacterial LSU rRNA". It matches the Rfam family "Bacterial large subunit ribosomal RNA". RNAcentral also lists the same sequence under 3 other names. The record is from RNAcentral. Lineage: Bacteria; Pseudomonadati; Pseudomonadota; Gammaproteobacteria; Enterobacterales; Enterobacteriaceae.
AGCGUACACGGUGGAUGCCCUGGCAGUCAGAGGCGAUGAAGGACGUGCUAAUCUGCGAUAAGCGUCGGUGAGGUGAUAUGAACCGUUAUAACCGGCGAUUUCCGAAUGGGGAAACCCAGUGUGUUUCGACACACUAUCAUUAACUGAAUCCAUAGGUUAAUGAGGCGAACCGGGGGAACUGAAACAUCUAAGUACCCCGAGGAAAAGAAAUCAACCGAGAUUCCCCCAGUAGCGGCGAGCGAACGGGGAGGAGCCCAGAGCCUGAAUCAGUGUGUGUGUUAGUGGAAGCGUCUGGAAAGGCGCGCGAUACAGGGUGACAGCCCCGUACACAAAAAUGCACAUAUUGUGAGCUCGAUGAGUAGGGCGGGACACGUGGUAUCCUGUCUGAAUAUGGGGGGACCAUCCUCCAAGGCUAAAUACUCCUGACUGACCGAUAGUGAACCAGUACCGUGAGGGAAAGGCGAAAAGAACCCCGGCGAGGGGAGUGAAAAAGAACCUGAAACCGUGUACGUACAAGCAGUGGGAGCCUCUUUAUGGGGUGACUGCGUACCUUUUGUAUAAUGGGUCAGCGACUUAUAUUCUGUAGCAAGGUUAACCGAAUAGGGGAGCCGAAGGGAAACCGAGUCUUAACUGGGCGUUAAGUUGCAGGGUAUAGACCCGAAACCCGGUGAUCUAGCCAUGGGCAGGUUGAAGGUUGGGUAACACUAACUGGAGGACCGAACCGACUAAUGUUGAAAAAUUAGCGGAUGACUUGUGGCUGGGGGUGAAAGGCCAAUCAAACCGGGAGAUAGCUGGUUCUCCCCGAAAGCUAUUUAGGUAGCGCCUCGUGAAUUCAUCUCCGGGGGUAGAGCACUGUUUCGGCAAGGGGGUCAUCCCGACUUACCAACCCGAUGCAAACUGCGAAUACCGGAGAAUGUUAUCACGGGAGACACACGGCGGGUGCUAACGUCCGUCGUGAAGAGGGAAACAACCCAGACCGCCAGCUAAGGUCCCAAAGUCAUGGUUAAGUGGGAAACGAUGUGGGAAGGCCCAGACAGCCAGGAUGUUGGCUUAGAAGCAGCCAUCAUUUAAAGAAAGCGUAAUAGCUCACUGGUCGAGUCGGCCUGCGCGGAAGAUGUAACGGGGCUAAACCAUGCACCGAAGCUGCGGCAGCGACACUAUGUGUUGUUGGGUAGGGGAGCGUUCUGUAAGCCUGUGAAGGUGGCCUGUGAGGGUUGCUGGAGGUAUCAGAAGUGCGAAUGCUGACAUAAGUAACGAUAAAGCGGGUGAAAAGCCCGCUCGCCGGAAGACCAAGGGUUCCUGUCCAACGUUAAUCGGGGCAGGGUGAGUCGACCCCUAAGGCGAGGCCGAAAGGCGUAGUCGAUGGGAAACAGGUUAAUAUUCCUGUACUUGGUGUUACUGCGAAGGGGGGACGGAGAAGGCUAUGUUGGCCGGGCGACGGUUGUCCCGGUUUAAGCGUGUAGGCUGGUUUUCCAGGCAAAUCCGGAAAACCAAGGCUGAGGCGUGAUGACGAGGCACUACGGUGCUGAAGCGACAAAUGCCCUGCUUCCAGGAAAAGCCUCUAAGCAUCAGGUAACAUCAAAUCGUACCCCAAACCGACACAGGUGGUCAGGUAGAGAAUACCAAGGCGCUUGAGAGAACUCGGGUGAAGGAACUAGGCAAAAUGGUGCCGUAACUUCGGGAGAAGGCACGCUGAUAUGUAGGUGAAGCGACUUGCUCGUGGAGCUGAAAUCAGUCGAAGAUACCAGCUGGCUGCAACUGUUUAUUAAAAACACAGCACUGUGCAAACACGAAAGUGGACGUAUACGGUGUGACGCCUGCCCGGUGCCGGAAGGUUAAUUGAUGGGGUUAGCGGUAACGCGAAGCUCUUGAUCGAAGCCCCGGUAAACGGCGGCCGUAACUAUAACGGUCCUAAGGUAGCGAAAUUCCUUGUCGGGUAAGUUCCGACCUGCACGAAUGGCGUAAUGAUGGCCAGGCUGUCUCCACCCGAGACUCAGUGAAAUUGAACUCGCUGUGAAGAUGCAGUGUACCCGCGGCAAGACGGAAAGACCCCGUGAACCUUUACUAUAGCUUGACACUGAACAUUGAGCCUUGAUGUGUAGGAUAGGUGGGAGGCUUUGAAGUGUGGACGCCAGUCUGCAUGGAGCCGACCUUGAAAUACCACCCUUUAAUGUUUGAUGUUCUAACGUUGGCCCGUAAUCCGGGUUGCGGACAGUGUCUGGUGGGUAGUUUGACUGGGGCGGUCUCCUCCUAAAGAGUAACGGAGGAGCACGAAGGUUGGCUAAUCCUGGUCGGACAUCAGGAGGUUAGUGCAAUGGCAUAAGCCAGCUUGACUGCGAGCGUGACGGCGCGAGCAGGUGCGAAAGCAGGUCAUAGUGAUCCGGUGGUUCUGAAUGGAAGGGCCAUCGCUCAACGGAUAAAAGGUACUCCGGGGAUAACAGGCUGAUACCGCCCAAGAGUUCAUAUCGACGGCGGUGUUUGGCACCUCGAUGUCGGCUCAUCACAUCCUGGGGCUGAAGUAGGUCCCAAGGGUAUGGCUGUUCGCCAUUUAAAGUGGUACGCGAGCUGGGUUUAGAACGUCGUGAGACAGUUCGGUCCCUAUCUGCCGUGGGCGCUGGAGAACUGAGGGGGGCUGCUCCUAGUACGAGAGGACCGGAGUGGACGCAUCACUGGUGUUCGGGUUGUCAUGCCAAUGGCACUGCCCGGUAGCUAAAUGCGGAAGAGAUAAGUGCUGAAAGCAUCUAAGCACGAAACUUGCCCCGAGAUGAGUUCUCCCUGACUCCUUGA